AGUGUGUCGGCUUAUCUCUGAGUGUACAUUAUAUUGAUCCGUGUCGCAGAGCAGCGCCCUCACUCUGGUGCCCUUCGGUCACUUGCACUCUGUUUUUCGGGAGCAUGAUGAAUGAUGCUGAGUAGAUCAUCGGUCAGCAAUAAUUACUGCUCUCUAUACAUCAGUGAGCCAGAGCCUGCAGUCCGGGUCGCACAAGCUGUAACAAGACAGCCUGGAGCAAAUCCAUUAACACGCUGAUUGUUUUCACAGGGGGAAAGAAAUACACAUCUCUAAGUUCCAUCUAUGGAAAUGCAACAGCUUCCAGAGCUCGUCCCGAGGAACUCUGGUUAUCAACCAUUUUGUCAGGUCCUCCUGUGGUUGUGCUGGAGGAGGAAGUUCAAAGAUGGCAGAGGGGAUACCUGACGUCACGCUGACCCUAUCAGACCCUCGGAGAAUUGCCUUUGACAUACCAUUCAUCACCAUCUAUGACCAACUCACAGGACUCAAUCUGAUCGUAGGGAGAACUGUGAUCGAACAGAUGUCUCGACUUGACUGAACACCUCACUGUCCUUUUUUAUGCCUCUGUACAUGUGUCCAAUUUGUGUGAACAUGAUAUCUCAAGAAUGCCUUGAGGGAAUUCAUGUAUUUUAGGCAAAUUUCCAUUUGGACCCAAGAAAGAACCGAUUCGAUUUUGGUGGUCUAAGGUCAAAGGUCACAGUGGCCUCAAAAAAACCUUUAUUGAUUCGAGAACACAUUAUCUUAAGAAUGCCUCAAGAAAAUCCUUUCAAAUUUAGCACAAAGGUUUACUCACACUCACAGAUCAACUGAUUACAUGUGGGUGGUCAAAUCUUAAAUGUGAUAUUUCAAGUUUGUCUUUGGGGAAUUUCUUCAAAUUGCGAUCUGUUGUCACUUGGAGUCAAAAGAUGAUUUGAUAGGGUUUCAGUAGUCAAAGGUCAAAGGUUAUGUGGACUGAAACAGCACUGUAUGUAUGAGUCAUAAAACCCCAGGAUGCUAAUUUUUGUUUAUUCCAAUGAGUUUUUACUGCUAUCAAACUGCACUCAUUUACUUUAAGUAACAGCCGUGGUUGUUAUUUGCAGAAUGCGUUCUCCCUGCUUUCCAGACAUUGUAUCACCAUCUUUGCCAAAUCAAAUGGGCAGCUCCCUAUUUGAUUUGGCAGAGCUUAUUUUUUUUUCUUUCUUUAACCGCUGAUGCCCUCCCUAGCCGGCUGGGUUCAGGGGAGUGUCCUGUCUUCCUCAGAAUGAGUUACUGUUUAUUACUCUGUUUUCACUAAAGGACAAAAAGACAUUUAAAUGGUAGUAAUUUAUCCCUGUACAUGAAUCUCGGCUGUUCUCACUCGAUUAAAAAAGCAUUUUCUUUCUCA
Platichthys flesus (European flounder) is the source of this 1360-nucleotide long non-coding RNA. RefSeq lists it as uncharacterized. Lineage: Eukaryota; Metazoa; Chordata; Actinopteri; Pleuronectiformes; Pleuronectidae. The transcript is spliced from 2 exons. The record is from RefSeq and is a predicted model, not a curated record.